Molecule: ribosomal RNA, 723 nt
Filed under: uncultured Staphylococcus sp.
Lineage: Bacteria; Bacillati; Bacillota; Bacilli; Caryophanales; Staphylococcaceae
Description: bacterial SSU rRNA
Rfam family: Bacterial small subunit ribosomal RNA
Source: RNAcentral
GAGCGAACAGAUGUGGAGCUUGCUCCUCUGACGUUAGCGGCGGACGGGUGAGUAACACGUGGAUAACCUACCUAUAAGACUGGGAUAACUUCGGGAAACCGGAGCUAAUACCGGAUAAUAUAUUGAACCGCAUGGUUCAAUAGUGAAAGACGGUUUUGCUGUCACUUAUAGAUGGAUCCGCGCCGCAUUAGCUAGUUGGUAAGGUAACGGCUUACCAAGGCAACGAUGCGUAGCCGACCUGAGAGGGUGAUCGGCCACACUGGAACUGAGACACGGUCCAGACUCCUACGGGAGGCAGCGGUAGGGAAUCUUCCGCAAUGGGCGAAAGCCUGACGGAGCAACGCCGCGUGAGUGAUGAAGGUCUUCGGAUCGUAAAACUCUGUUAUUAGGGAAGAACAAAUGUGUAAGUAACUAUGCACGUCUUGACGGUACCUAAUCAGAAAGCCACGGCUAACUACGUGCCAGCAGCCGCGGUAAUACGUAGGUGGCAAGCGUUAUCCGGAAUUAUUGGGCGUAAAGCGCGCGUAGGCGGUUUUUUAAGUCUGAUGUGAAAGCCCACGGCUCAACCGUGGAGGGUCAUUGGAAACUGGAAAACUUGAGUGCAGAAGAGGAAAGUGGAAUUCCAUGUGUAGCGGUGAAAUGCGCAGAGAUAUGGAGGAACACCAGUGGCGAAGGCGACUUUCUGGUCUGUAACUGACGCUGAUGUGCGAAAGCGUGGGGAUC